UAAUACGUAGGGGGCAAGCGUUGUCCGGAAUCAUUGGGCGUAAAGCGCGCGUAGGCGGCCCGGUCAGUCCGUUGUGAAAGUCAAAGGCUCAACCUUUGAAUGCCGACGGAUACUGCCGGGCUAGAGUCCGGAAGAGGCGAGUGGAAUUCCUGGUGUAGCGGUGGAAUGCGCAGAUAUCAGGAGGAACACCUAUAGCGAAGGCAGCUCGCUGGGACGGUACUGACGCUGAGGCGCGAAAGCGUGGGGAGCGAACAGGAUUAGAUACCCUGGUAGUCCACGCCGUAAACGAUGGGAACUAGGUGUGGGAGGUGUCGACUCCUCCCGUGCCGACGCUAACGCAUUAAGUUCCCCGCCUGGGGAGUACGGCCGCAAGGCUA
This 377-nucleotide ribosomal RNA is filed under the name uncultured bacterium. RNAcentral describes it as "bacterial SSU rRNA". It matches the Rfam family "Bacterial small subunit ribosomal RNA", at positions 521 to 896 of the family's 1533-position model. The record is from RNAcentral.